Molecule: ribosomal RNA, 492 nt
Filed under: uncultured bacterium
Lineage: Bacteria
Description: partial 16S ribosomal RNA
Rfam family: Bacterial small subunit ribosomal RNA
Source: RNAcentral
AUUGAACGCUGGCGGCAUGCUUUACACAUGCAAGUCGAACGGUAACACGCCUUCGGGUGCUGACGAGUGGCGCACGGGUGAGUAAUGCAUCGGAACGUGCCCAGCGGUGGGGGAUAACGCAGCGAAAGCUGUGCUAAUACCGCAUGUGAUCUGAGGAUGAUAGCGGGGGACCAGGCAGCAAUGUUUGGCCUCGCGCCUUUGUAGCGGCCGAUGGCAGAUUAGGUAGUUGGUGGGGUAAAGGCCUACCAAGCCGACGAUCUGUAGCUGGACUGAGAGGACGGUCAGCCACACUGGGAGGGAGACGCGGCCCAGGCUCCUACGGGAGGCAGCAGUGGGGAAUGGUGGACAAUGGGCGGGAGCCUGAUCCAGCAGUGCCACGUGCGGGAAGAAGGCCUUCGGGGUGUAAGCCGCUUUUGUACGGAACGAAAAGGCUCUGGCUAAUACCUGGGGCUAAUGACGGUACCGUAAGAAGAAGCACCGGCUAACUACGUG